CUAAGAAUAUUCCGCAAUGGACGGAAGUCUGACGGAGCGACGCCGCGUGGAUGACGAAGGCCGAAAGGUUGUAAAGUUCUUUUGCUGGGGAAGAAUAACCGCAGGAGGGAAUGCCUGUGGGAUGACAAGAACCGGCGAAUAAGCCCCGGCCAACUACGUGCCAGCAGCCGCGGUAACACGUAGGGGGGCGAGCGUUGUUCGGAAUUACUGGGCGUAAAGGGCAUGUAGGCGGCUUGGAAAGCCUGGCGUGAAAGUCUGCAGCUUAACUGCAGGGGUGCGCUGGGAACUGCUGAGCUUGAGUGACGGAGAGGGAGCUGGAAUUCCUGGUGUAGGGGUGAAAUCUGUAGAUAUCAGGAAGAACACCGAUGGCGAAGGCAAGCUCCUGGCCGAUGACUGACGCUGAGGUGCGAAAGUGUGGGGAUCAAACAGGAUUAGAUACCCUGGUAGUCCACACAGUCAACGAUGUGCACUAGGUGCUGGGGCGGUAGCUUCGGUGCCGGAGCGAACGUGGUAAGUGCACCGCCUGGGGAGUAUGCUCGCAAGGGUGAAACUCAAGGAAUUGACGGGGUC
Molecule: ribosomal RNA, 570 nt
Filed under: uncultured bacterium
Lineage: Bacteria
Description: partial 16S ribosomal RNA
Rfam family: Bacterial small subunit ribosomal RNA
Source: RNAcentral